CAUUUCUGCAACAGCUCGGGGCAGAGGGCACCCUCGGGGCAGUGCAGCCCUGGGGUAUUUCUGUCCCCAGGGCACAGCUCUUCCCAUUGCCUGUCCUGCAGGAUCCUACAACCCUUCACUGAGCCAGAGCAGCUGCCUGCCCUGUCCUGAAGGGUUCUUCUGCCCCAAGAAUUCCUCUUCCAUUUUGGAGAAUGAAUGUCCCCCUGGCCACUACUGCCCUGCAGGCACUGCCUCUGCAGCUCAGUUCCCAUGUCCCAGAGGGACUUAC
This is a long non-coding RNA of Passer domesticus (house sparrow), 268 nucleotides long. RefSeq lists it as uncharacterized. NCBI's taxonomy places the organism in Eukaryota, Metazoa, Chordata, Aves, Passeriformes, Passeridae. The record is from RefSeq and is a predicted model, not a curated record. The transcript is spliced from 3 exons.